This 567-nucleotide ribosomal RNA is filed under the name Acanthostigmina scopula. RNAcentral's name for it is "eukaryotic LSU rRNA". It matches the Rfam family "Eukaryotic large subunit ribosomal RNA", at positions 77 to 659 of the family's 3401-position model. Lineage: Eukaryota; Fungi; Ascomycota; Dothideomycetes; Tubeufiales; Tubeufiaceae. The record is from RNAcentral.
GCCUCAGUAACGGCGAGUGAAGCGGCAAUAGCUCAAAUUUGAAAUCUGACUCUUUCAGGGUCCGAGUUGUAAUUUGUAGAGGAUGUUUCGGCUUACGCCCCGGUCUAAGUUCCUUGGAACAGGACGUCACAGAGGGUGAGAAUCCCGUUUGUGGCCGGCGGCUUCCGCCAUGUGAAACUCCUUCGACGAGUCGAGUUGUUUGGGAAUGCAGCUCUAAAUGGGAGGUAAAUUUCUUCUAAAGCUAAAUACUGGCCAGAGACCGAUAGCGCACAAGUAGAGUGAUCGAAAGAUGAAAAGCACUUUGGAAAGAGAGUUAAAAAGUACGUGAAAUUGUUGAAAGGGAAGCGCUUGCGACCAGACUUGCCCGCGGAUGCUCAACCGGUCCUUCGGCCGGUGCACUCUUCCGCGGUCAGGCCAGCAUCAGUUCGGACGGUUGGAUAAAGGCCUUGGGAAUGUGGCUCUCUUCGGGGAGUGUUAUAGCCCUUGGUGCAAUACAGCCUGCCUGGACUGAGGCCCGCGCUUCGGCUAGGAUGCUGGCGUAAUGGUCGUAAGCGGCCCGUCUUGAAA